This is a long non-coding RNA of Syngnathus typhle (broad-nosed pipefish), 1534 nucleotides long. RefSeq lists it as uncharacterized. The transcript is spliced from 3 exons. The record is from RefSeq and is a predicted model, not a curated record. NCBI's taxonomy places the organism in Eukaryota, Metazoa, Chordata, Actinopteri, Syngnathiformes, Syngnathidae.
CUGUCCAAUGGCCCGUUACCGCCUUCUGCUGGCGUUGUGGGUAGACUAAGUCAGUGUUUUUCAACCGGGGUGCCGCGCAAAUUAUUGUCAGGGGCGCCGUGGGAAAUUCUCCAAUUUGUGCGCCUGUGCGGUGUAGCGCCCGGCAGAGUAAUCAUAUCUUCUAUAUCAGAUGGUGGCAGCAGCAGUUAGCGAUUUGCCUCGUGCUUGCAGACGAGAAAAUUGGUGACGCAUGGAUCCAGUGGCAGAUGUAUGGGAUGGCCAUGCAGUUCUACGCAUGCUUACUGCAUAAAGUCAACAAGGAUCUUGGUUUUGAGCACAUCAGCGCCGGAAAGAGGGGAGAUGAGUGUACUACGUUUCAGGUGGACGAGAUGUCAUUUACCAACUUCUGAGAGGUCAACAAACGCGUGACUUGAGCGGGAUUGUUCGGAGAAGCAACUGCUACUUGGAAAACCAAGUUUUUGUCAAUUCUGGUGCUUUGAAUUCACUAAAGUCAAUGAAGGCAAAAACAUUUUUUUUAUUCAUGGCAACUUUUGAUACAUGGCAUCAACCUUUCAUUUUAGAUUAAUCUAAAAUGUCACAAACGUGUGCACUUAUCAAAGACAUUAUUUACAAGUUAAACAAAAGGGUGUGUAUGUAUAAAAAAAAACUGAGUCUCAGACACUGGGCAAUAGUCACAAUCAUCACUAAGAAGCUUCCUCUCUGACUUUCUUCUUUUUCUUUUUCUUGCCACUUUCAAGCUGCAAACACAGAAAAAAAGUUUGUUAAACCUUAAGACAAACAAUCAUUAUUUGAUGCAAAGAAUAGAUAGAAAUGAGCCACACCACACCAAAAUUCACACGCUGUUCCAACAACACAAACCUAGUCGUGAACUAACCUCAAUUUUGGGCUCAAUGUCCGCCGUUUCGUUCUGCGCUUCAGUGGCCUCCAUUGUGGCGCGCUUCUCUCUUUUCUUCUUCUUCUUCUCUUUGGGCGUCUCCUCACUGACUGGCGCGGGUUCCGCUUCGCUGUCAGUUCCCUCCCUCUUCCUCUGUGCAGAGGAAAAAAAGGUGAGCGAGGAGAGCGCCUCCAGCAGGUCGGGAAGCUGAUGGCCAACCUGAGGACUUUACCUUGCUUGACACGUCCGACUCCUUGGCAGUGACGCUACAGUAGGGUAAAAACAGACAAAGGUUAAAGAUGCGGAACAUCUCUGGUCAAAAUAUUUUCUUCAAAAUAUAACAAGAUGCGAAAGUCUGCUUUUAAAAAAAACAAAAAAAGUGAUUAACUUAAUUGCCACUGCAUUUUCAAUUUCACAAUGACUAGGAACUAGGGAUGUAACGAUUAAUCGAUAUAAUCUCUACGAUUUAUUGGUAUCGAUGCUAAAGGUAAACAUCGAUUUAUAUCGCCGUGUUUGACCUCGGACAUUAGACGCGACUUUAUUUUGAAAUCCAGUUCAUUGUUGCUUGCUUCCUCUUUCCGGCGUUGUUGUGUUGUGAGCAGAGCACGCGCGUGAAAGGGGAGGGGACAACUAGUCCGCGGCUCCUGGGCUGGUGCUAUG